GUUUUAAUAGUUUAAAUAAAACAUUGGUCUUGUAAAUCAAUAAUGAGAACUUUCUCUUAAAACU
RNAcentral lists this transfer RNA (64 nucleotides) under unidentified. RNAcentral describes it as "Epeorus sp. 06 ZXM-2022a tRNA-Thr". It matches the Rfam family "tRNA". From Rfam's summary of the family: Transfer RNA (tRNA) molecules are approximately 80 nucleotides in length. Their secondary structure includes four short double-helical elements and three loops (D, anti-codon, and T loops). The record is from RNAcentral.